RNAcentral lists this long non-coding RNA (7757 nucleotides) under Lathyrus oleraceus (garden pea). Its description in RNAcentral is "Pisum sativum (pea) long non-coding RNA (PSAT_LNC010501)". The record is from RNAcentral. Lineage: Eukaryota; Viridiplantae; Streptophyta; Magnoliopsida; Fabales; Fabaceae.
AACAAAUCAAUGGCGCAGGAAGGGAAAAAAUGCAGGCCCCAUCUACAAGUCCAAAGCUCUUUCAACAAGGUAAUCAGGGGGGUGUAGAUACCUAGAGGGUGCAGAUAGAAGGAUUUGGGUCUGGGAGCCCAAUGCAAGGCAAUGAAAGAAUCAACAAUCCCAAAACAACGCAUGCACAAUUGUCAAACACAUUUUCCACGUUUUCCACUCAGGUUAAAAUUUUCAAGUCAUCUCUCUUCCCUCCAACUGAAUGCAACUCUCCUCCACCGUGCCGGAGGUCGCCUCCGGCGGAGGCGGAGACCUAAUAUUCAAACAAAUCACACCACCCCUUCAUCUUCUUCAUUUGAACACGAAUCCCAUACCGAAAAUCCUUGAUUCCUUCUCAAAAAUUUGAAUCGAAGAGAUAUGCGCACAGAACCUAAAUCUUAAAAGAGAAAUUAAAUUCUUAACUCUCGGAAUAAAAUUCCUAGAGGUUAGGGAUUUGAUUCCCCUAAUAUUCUUUUACACCAUGCUAACCAGCAUGUUGUGAAUAGUUAAAGAAAAAAAGAAGCACUCGCCGAAGCCGAUGCCGGAAACCAGGUUUGAAUCUUUGAAUCUUCUUCCUCUUCGUCUAAUUCUUCUUCUUCUUUUGAAACGUCUAGUUUGAAUUGUGGUGUGAGAGGUCGUAUGAAUGCAGAGAAUUCGAGAGGGGGAGAGUUUGUGAAGUGAAUGGAGAUGGGAUUAUUGGAACUGAUGAUGAAUAUUGAUUGGACUCUCAAUGAAUGAUAUGAAUUGUUUUUAUAGGAAGGAUGAUUAAUAGAGAAAUCUAACUCUGUUAAUUGUUAGUUAGCAAUGCGAAUCAAAAUCAGUUAGAGGUGAAAGCGGCGUGAGAUUGCUAGUUAGGGUUAGCUAUGUUAAUUAUGAAAUUCAGUUUGAGUGAUUUGAUUUGGCUGUAACGGAUUUGGAAGGAGAAUGUUGUAACUGAGUUUGAGUCAUGUUCAAUUUCUGUUAGUUGUGAAAUGAGUUGUUAAGUGAUGUAGUUAGUGAAAGUGUUAAGUUAAGUUAAAUGCUAAUUGGUUAGAUGGAAAUGGUUAGGGUGAAGUUGAGUUAAAAUGAAUUUUAAUUUCCUGUUAGGUGAAAAAACAUUGUUCGGUAGUGAUGUCAAUGGUUUGCUCGAUUUGCUGAAUACUAACUUGGAAUUGCUAUGACUGUUAUUGUUUGAAUGAUUUGGUUGGUUAGAUGCAUAUGUGAUGACUGCUGCUCGAUUUUGGAUGUCCUGCUAUUGUUAUGUUUAGCUUGCUGCAGAUUUUUUGGAUUUAUGCAAUGCCUUGAGUGACUUGCUGCAUUAAUUUUGUUGUGACUGUAUGCACUAGUAUUGAUAUGCUCAUGUUGUUUGAUUGGUUGUUGAAUUGUUAAAUGACAUGUUUUGAUGUAGAUGAUUAUGAGUGUUAUGUCAUUUGCAUUUGGUAUGUUUUGGCCACGAUUGUUUAAUGAAUUUUGGUAUGCUUGAAAUGGGGUGGAAUAUUAUGUUUCAUGAAUAUGGUUGGUUUAUGGUACAUGAAUGUUGUAAUACAUAUGCUUUAUUGAAUCAUUAUUCCUUAUUGUAUGUCAUGCAUGCAAUUGCUUUGUGUAUGCUAAUGUGUUGGAUGUUAUUUGUCAUGGCUUACUUGGUAUGGAAAUGACAUAUGGUUUUGGUCUUUGUUUGUAGGAUGGACAAAUGUAAGGAUGGUUGGUCUUGAAGAAACAAGGGACUUAGGGUUUAGGGAUGUUGAAAUGGUGACUUGCCUUUGCUCAAUUGGUUGACCAAAAAGUCAACAGUUAACCAAAAGUCAACUUAUGCAAAAAGUGUAUUUCUUUGUAAUUUUCAAUGGAACGUGUAUGGAUAAUGUAAUCCAAUGGCCUUUAUGAAUGAAAUGUAUUUUCUUUGGUAAAAAAAGUUCUAAUGAAACAUGCUUUUAAAUUCAAAUUAUCAUUUUCCCUCCAAAUGUCAUGUUUGAAAUUACUUGUAAACCAUGAUCUUGUAUGCACCAUAACACAUGAAUCAAUGGAUAAUGAAUGCAUUAUGAAAUUGGAUAAACGAACCUUAGCAUGAACCUUAAACAAAUGGACCAUGAAUGAAACAUAAAACUUGACCAAAUAGACCAUGAGUGAAACUCUAAACUUCAAGUUAGUGGACCAUGAAACUUGAAUUAAUGGAACUUGAAUGCACAAAGAUCUUUAAAUCAAUGCAUGAGUCUUGAAUGAACCAAAAGAGAACUUUAACAACAAAUCUAUGAAGCCAUGAUUAUCAGAUGAACUUAAUGAAUGAUUCUAAUGGCAAUGCCAUGAUGCAAAUAAAAAAUGACAAAAUAGCCUCUCCCAUGAACUAGGGUUUCACACAAAUGAUUAAUAGACAAACCAGUCCACGUAUGUCAAGCACACAUGAUUAGGGGUUCAAUCACAAUCCAAAACCAAGAUGUAAAUCAAGCAGAUCAAGAUCACAAACCAAGAAACGCUGAAUCACCAACUAGGGUUUCAAGCAUUGGUCCAAGAAUAAGCUUCCACAUUGACUGCAACAUCCCAAUCCCUAGGGCUUGAUCCUUGGGCAAACAAUAGGCUUUUGUUAGGAAUAAAAAAUCUCAAACCUUUGAAUCUAUGGUGUAUGUUUACAAGUGUUAAUAUGAAUGCAUGAUACACAUGUAUUUGGCAUGAAUGUAUGUAGAUGAAUCAUAAACCAAAAGUCAUGUGAAAAGUGAAAAGGGGAGAGAAAAUUUUGGGGUAUGGCAGUUGCCCCUAUUUAAUCUUCUCGGACCUGAGGAUAUGAAUAACAACGACUUUCAAACAUUCGUGGUACGAGAGUAUUAAAUACCAAAAUAACUUAAAUUCUGGCAAGCAGAUCCCUGAUGUCGUACAAGAAGUCACGACCUCAGGGUCUGCACAUUAUCACACCACAAACAAUAGCAGGAUAAAUAAAAUUGUAUAACAGUAAAUAACAUAAUCAAUUGUUAACCCAAUUCGGUACAACGUCACCUACAUCUGGGGGCUAUCAAGCUAGGAAGGAAAUUCAUUAUCACAGAAUUAGUUUGAAGUCCUGAACAACCUCAGUGUUUACAUACUUCUCACCUAAUCUCUACUUGUGGACGUUUCUAUCCAGGGCAUACCUAGAUAUGAGACCCUCUCACUUCCCUCAACCACGCAAUAACACACAACAGAAAAACACAAUCCAUUCUUGCUUAAAAGCUUCUGAGGGAUUGUUAGUUACAACUCCAUACACCAGGUCCAAUUCAGGUAUCAAUGUGAUACUCAAAUGGCUCACACAAAGCACACGCAUGAAACCCUAAUGCUAACAAAAUAUUGCACUGCUUCACUGCAUUCCUAGGUAUAAAUCUCCCCUAUAAUAGCAGUAAGAGGCACGGGCUUCGGUCUUUGAUUUUCAAUAGAUCCAAUAUCUCUCCUCAAUCUUCUGAAGAUAUGAUUUCUAUCAAAUCACAUGUUUCCUAAAGUCUCUUAACAUUGUUACUUCGUAACCAAGUCAAGAUACGAUAUUCUUCAGGUACAAGGAAAAUACGCAAUAAUAUACUAGAGCUAAAUCUUCAGAGAAUCUUUAAAUAAAUCAUUUAAGGAGACUAAAACUUACAACCAACAUAAGCUCGGUUACACUGAAUGUUGAAACAACAUAUCAUGACAUCUUGUUCAACAUCUGUCAAAUAAACUUGUUUUUCCAAAAUGCAGCCAAUCACAAAAUGACAGGCCUAAAAAUCCCCCCCUUUGGCAAAUUUUGACUAAAACAAUCUUUGCAACGGUCAACUAUCAAUAGAUAGAAGGGAUAGACACAAGAAUGUAUAUCAACAAGAAAACAUACUACAUCCUUUCUCACACAGUCACCAGAGGCAAGGCGUAGCAAAUUUGACUAAAACAAUCUUUGCAACGGUCAACUAUCAAUAGAUAGAAGGGAUAGACACAAGAAUGUAUAUCAACAAGAAAACAUACUACAUCCUUUCUCACACAGUCACCAGAGGCAAGGCGUAGCAAAUCAACAAGCCUCAUACUGUAUAACCAAAACAUUAGCAUAAAAAAACAAUUCCAUCUUUCUUAGACAGGAUGUCAGGACAUUGUUCCUGACAUCAUGAACAUCGGAAUUAGGUCAGGCACUCCCCCUGAGUAUCAGAACCACGAGAUGAGUUACCCCAAGGGUUACUCCCCCUACAUAUUUGAAUAUGCCCCCCCUCAAGGAUUAAGAGGGAUAAGAAACAUCAAUACCUAUUCAAACACACCUGCUCCCCCUUUUUAGCCAUAAAGUUGACAAACAAACCACAUUAACCAUACCAACAAUGUAAGUCACACAAGAUUAAGAGGGUUUACAAACCAAGAAGCACUUAUAGAGUGCAUAAAGAAGAAUCCAUGGCACAGACCAUAAAAGCAACAAAAUCAGAAAUAACACACAAAAGAUCUAGAGAUCAUUAAUCUUCAUCACUGCUGGUAUCUUCUUUAUCACUUGCAUCAAUCAUGUCUUCAUUAUCUUCUUCCUCAUUUGUUCCAUCAUCUUUCAUACCACCUUCUUCUUCAGACAGAGUAGAUCUAGAGAUCAUUAAUCUUCAUCACUGCUGGUAUCUUCUUUAUCACUUGCAUCAAUCAUGUCUUCAUUAUCUUCUUCCUCAUUUGUUCCAUCAUCUUUCAUACCACCUUCUUCUUCAGACAGAGAAUUAAUCAAAAUUUCAAGUUUGCUCUUCCUUUCAGUACAACUAUUUAUAGUUUCAUCCAAAGUCUUGCAUCUAUCUUUCAGCUCAGCUAUGAUGCUUGUUCUGUCAGUGGACCUUGAAGGAGUCUGUUCAGAUGUCAUGACAAUGUAUGCGACAUGUUUCCCCGGUGAAAAACCUAUAAUGAAGUGAGAGAGGAGGGUCCCUUUUGCAUUACUAUCAGAAUUGAUUAAUAUACUGGGGUGUUGACUCAGGAUAACCCCAUAGAUCAAAGAGGGAAAAGCUAUUGGCAUUUUUGCAGCAUAAGAUGCAACAUGCUUCAUAGUAUGACCAAAAACAUAGGAACCAAAAUCAAAAUUUGACUUGGUCCUAACAAUAUAGAUGAACUUACCUAGCCCAAUAGCUAUAUUGGAGGUGUGAUUGGUUGGCACCCAAUUUGAAGCUCCAAUUUUGAGAACAACAUAUUUGACACUUAAGGCACUAGCAAACAAUUUCCCUUUCCUUGGCCAUUCCUUCACUUUCUUAGCAUUAAUUUCUCUGUAGAUGACAUUGUCAGAUACCUCAAUUUCAACUUGUUCUUCUUAAUUUUUGCCCAAGAACCUGUUGAUUGUUUCUGGAGAAAAUCCACACAUAUUCCUCUGACAUACACUUUUUUGAAUUUCUUGCUCCUUUUGUUUUCACACUCCUUGGAGAUGUUCACAAUAAACUCUUUGACAAGCAUUUCAUAGCACUUGCCAAAUCCUGUUAUAGUUUUCAUUAAGUCAACUUCUUGAAUCAGACUCAACACCUCUUUACACUAAAAAAACAUCCUUCCCCAAUUCCCUUUCCAGUGAUAACCUUCUUUGAUAAACAUAUUUCCAUUUUUCAACAUUUUCAACAGAGUGAAAAGAAAUGUUGUCAAGUGGAACUUCAAGAAUAUUGGCUGGUAUCUUCUUCCCAGAGGCCUGCUUUCUGGAAAAAGAGAUGAUUUCCUGAAUAUUGUGUUUGAUAUCAUGAUCAGAUUCACUGGUAUCAGAGGGAACUUCCUUCCUUUUCAGGGACUUCUUCUUAUAUAAUGGAGUCACCACCUUGCUCCAUCUUUUAGUGGGACCAACAUUAGCUUUGUUUCUGACAGAUUUGGAGGGAGUGCUAGAGGAUCCAACAACUUGGCCUUUUCUAUUCCUCAAUCUUUUAGCAAUGCCAGGAGCUAGUCUUUGCCCAAUAGGAAUAUCAUCAAAGUCCAGUUCCUCAAUAUUAACAAUUUUAGUGGGUUGAUCAACAUGGUUUUAUCUUUGUUAUCCAACUCAUUAGUUAUAUCUUUAGACCAUUCUUUGUCUUGAGAAUUCUCAGGAGACAGAGUAGGUGCAUGCAUAUCAGGAUUAUCUAUGGGGUUCUCAAUAUUGUUAUCCGGUUGAGCCAAGGAUGUGGAGACAUUCGGCACGACAUUUUUCUUAGGGUCAAUCCCUAAUACUUGAGAGAUCAACACACGAAUAUUCUUAACAACGUCGUCUCAGUCAGCAACGAUCACGCUAGAUUUACUCAAGGUAGUAACAGAUCUAGGUUUAUUGUUGGACCCAAAAGCUUCAACAUUUUCCAUAACAUUUAUCGCAGCAGGACAAUCUUCAGACACAUCAACAUUAGGUUCAACGCUGAUGGGAUCGAGAUACAGGAUAGUCAUGGACAUGGGUUUCUUCACAAUAGUUAGAGGUUCAUGAUCAUUCAUAUUUCUAGCAGUUAUGAAGGGAGUGGAAGAGGUACUUACCUUAGUAGGAAGAGGAAAAGAACUUCUACUUCAAGAGGUCUUUCUCAUGGGAGUUGCAUGGAUAGGAACGAUCGAGAAGGGCACAACAUCAUUGAUGACAUCAAAUAGAUCUAUCUCAGUGCCAAUAAUUUUAGGGUUUGAUUGCUCUUUGGAGGAUUUGCUUGGAGUGGAGGCAGAAGGUUGUGACAUUUUGGAAUUUUUCUGUAGAGAGGAGAUGGAGAGAUGAAGAUGUAUGAGAACGAGUUUGAGAGAGAGAAUGCAUAGGUUAGCGUGAGGAUGGCUAAGGUACAGUGUUGGGAAAUAGGAGAAAAAUGUAAUAAUGGACUUUGAGUUUUGUGCAAAGUUAAGUGAAGGGAAGAGAAAUUUUCAUUUCUUUUUCUCCUCUUUAGUAAUUGCUAUAAUUCUUCAAGCAUGCAAAUGCCCGAUUCGCCUCUUAGUGUUUCAAAUUUAUUUGCAUAUAAAGCUUUGGUAAAAAUGUCUGCUAAUUGCUUUUCAGUAGUUACAUGCUCAAGAGUGACAAUUUUGUCUUCCACCAGAUCUCUAAUGAAGUGAUGACGGAUAUCAAUGUGCUUAGUUAUGUUGUGCUGAAUAGGGUUCUUGAAAAUGUUAAUAGCACUUAGGUUGUCACAGUACAAUGUCAUGACAUCUUGCUGGACAUUGUAUUCUUCUAACAUUUGUUUCAUCCAAAUCAAUUGAGAGCAACUACUUCCUACAACAAUAUAUUCAACCUCAGUUGUAGAUAAGGACACACUAUUUUGCUUUUUACUGAACCAAGAUAUGAGAUUAUUUCCCAAAAAGAAACAUAUUCCAGAAGUGAUUUUUUUAUCAUCAGCACUGUCUGCCGAAUCUGCAUCAUAAUAUCCUAUUAGUAAGGAGUUAGCAUUAUGAAAAUACAACAUUCCAUAUUCACCGGUUCCAUUGAUAUACUUCAGAAUCCUUUUCACUUGAGUAAUGUGACUCAUUUUGGGUUCAGAUUGAUAUCUAGCACACACUCCUACAACAAAUGUAAUGUCAGGUCUGAUAGCUGUGAGAUAAAGCAGACUACCAAUCAUACUCCUAUACAGACUUUGAUCCAUAUUUGUACCUUUUAAAUCUUUGGUUAGUUUUAAAUGAGGUGGUGCAGGUGUCCUUUCAUGGAUAACAUUUUCCAUGCCAAAUUUUUUCACUAUGUUCUUGGCAUACUUGCUUUGGGAGGUGAAGAUAAUGCCAAAAGGUCAACAAUUGACCAAAAGUCAACGUAUGCAAAAAGUGUAUUUCUUUGUAAUUUUCAAUGGAACAUGUAUGGAUAAUGUAAUCUAAUGGCCUUUAUGAAUGGAAUAAAUUUUCUUUGGCAAAAAAAGUUCUAAUGAAACAUGCUUUUA